CCUACGGGUUGCAGCAGUAGGGAAUCUUCGGCAAUGGACGAAAGUCUGACCGAGCAACGCCGCGUGAGUGAAGAAGGUUUUCGGAUCGUAAAACUCUGUUGGUAGAGAAGAACGUUGGUGAGAGUGGAAAGCUCAUCAAGUGACGGUAACUACCCAGAAAGGGACGGCUAACUACGUGCCAGCAGCCGCGGUAAUACGUAGGUCCCGAGCGUUGUCCGGAUUUAUUGGGCGUAAAGCGAGCGCAGGUGGUUUAUUAAGUCUGGUGUAAAAGGCAGUGGCUCAACCAUUGUAUGCAUUGGAAACUGGGGGACUUGAGUGCAGAAGAGGAGAGCGGAAUUCCACGUGUAGCGGUGAAAUGCGUAGAGAUGUGGAGGAACACCAGUGGCGAAGGCGGCUCUCUGGUCUGUAACUGACGCUGAGGCGCGAAAGCGUGGGGAGCAAACAGGAUUAGAUACCCGGGUAGUC
RNAcentral lists this ribosomal RNA (465 nucleotides) under uncultured bacterium. RNAcentral describes it as "bacterial SSU rRNA". It matches the Rfam family "Bacterial small subunit ribosomal RNA", at positions 338 to 795 of the family's 1533-position model. The record is from RNAcentral.